CGCUGGCGGCAGGCCUAACACAUGCAAGUCGUAACAAGGUAACCGUAAGCUUGCUUUUUUGCUGACGAGUGGCGGACGGGUGAGUAAUGUCUGAGAAACUGCCUGAUGGAGGGGGAUAACUACUGGAAACGGUAGCUAAUACCGCAUAACGUCGCAAGACCAAAGAGGGGGACCUUCGGUCCUCUUGCCAUCGGAUGUGCCCAGAUGGGAUUAGCUUGUAGGUGGGGUAACGGCUUCACCUAGGCGACGAUCCCUAGCUGGUCUGAGAGGAUGACCAGCCACACUGGAACUGAGACACGGUCCAGACUCCUACGGGAGGCAGCAGUGGGGAAUAUUGCACAAUGGGCGCAAGCCUGAUGCAGCCAUGCCGCGUGUAUGAAGAAGGCCUUCGGGUUGUAAAGUACUUUCAGCGGG
This 414-nucleotide ribosomal RNA is filed under the name Escherichia coli. RNAcentral's name for it is "bacterial SSU rRNA". It matches the Rfam family "Bacterial small subunit ribosomal RNA", at positions 34 to 443 of the family's 1533-position model. The record is from RNAcentral. Lineage: Bacteria; Pseudomonadati; Pseudomonadota; Gammaproteobacteria; Enterobacterales; Enterobacteriaceae.